RNAcentral lists this unclassified non-coding RNA (410 nucleotides) under Mortierella globalpina. RNAcentral describes it as "partial internal transcribed spacer region". The stretch from base 1 to 46 matches the Rfam family "Eukaryotic small subunit ribosomal RNA", at positions 1786 to 1831 of the family's 1831-position model. Lineage: Eukaryota; Fungi; Mortierellomycota; Mortierellomycetes; Mortierellales; Mortierellaceae. The record is from RNAcentral.
AAGUCGUAACAAGGUUUCCGUAGGUGAACCUGCGGAAGGAUCAUUCAUAAUCAAGUGUUUUUAUGGCAUUUUAUAAAAAUCCAUAUCCACCUUGUGUGCAAUGUCAUCUCACUGGAGGUCGCGGCUGUAAAAUCCGUUGGCCACCUUUGGGAUUUAUAUCUACUCAGAACUUUAGUGAUUUUGUCUGAACCAUAUUGACAAGUAGCAGACACACAUUACCAAGAAUGAAUGAGAACAAGAGAGGGAUCUUUAAUGACCAGCCCCAGGGUGCCUUAUAUAGUGGCGGGUCCCUGGUGGCUGAGUGUUCUGCUAGCUAUCUGACAGCUCAUUAUGUUAAGGGUCAAUAUGUAACACAUAUUAUGAAUACUUAAUUCAAAAUACAACUUUCAACAACGGAUCUCUUGGCUCUC